AACAGGUCACAGACCCAGCUCUCCAGUGGAGAUCAGACGGAUGCACAGCAAAGUGCUAAAUGACCACACAAGGUGACACAGCGAGGGUCAGGUGACUUUCAGGAAGUAGUGUUCAGUUACCCAAACAGUUGUGAAGAAUAGCUGGCUAGCUCUGUAAAACGUCCCCGGGCCUCUCAGAGUGAAUUUUGUCUAUGUCACACAAUCUGCAUAAUCAUACAGCUGGCAGAAAGGGAACCGUUGAUUGGAUAAAGAUUCACCUUUUAACCUCCUGGCCUGGAAGUGAUACCACUUCUGCUUACAAUCCACUGGCAAGAUCUAGUCACACAGCAUCACUUAUAAGCAAGGGAUGCUGGGAAAUGUAGCCCUUGGCUGGGCAACCGCCUGUUCAGUAA
This 392-nucleotide long non-coding RNA is filed under the name Equus caballus (horse). RNAcentral describes it as "lncRNA (ENSECAG00000044508.1)". The record is from RNAcentral. Lineage: Eukaryota; Metazoa; Chordata; Mammalia; Perissodactyla; Equidae.